AAAAAUAGCAACAAACCCAACUCUUUUCUCCAGUCUCAGCGGCGCAGGCUAAAACAAGAAAAAGUGGCCAACGACUAUGGCGGCUGAGAUGAGCAAAAAGCGAAAUGUCCGACCACCGAUCAAACACGCACUAAUUUUGUUGCUGAUGGAGUCUUUCCUAGUUGUUGACGAGAGAGGCUAGCGGCGGAUGGCUACUCAGUUGAGGUUACGCCUGUGCCGACCUAGAUCAUCAUUAGGGCCACUCGGACUCAGAACAGUUUGACCCUUUGUUAAAUGUUGGGCUUUUAAGUUUUAAAGGUGAGAAGGGAAAGAGAUUAAAGGAACUUACACCUGUUGUUCAGAAGCCUUUCAAUUUUCCGGAGAAAAGUGUUGGCUUUAUGCAGAGAAAGUUAGUAACCGAGGGCUUUGUGCAAUUGCUCAGGCAGAGUCUUUGUGUUACAAGCUUCUAGGAGGGCUUGCUGUCUGCAGGUUCUUGAGAUUAAGGUGAAGUUCAUGCUUGAUUGGGAUCCAAAGGGUAAGCAAGGCCGCACGACACCCCUACCUGAUAUGUUCACCAUUCACCAACUGUAGGAGAAAGGGUACAUCAGGCCCUCAGUCUUGGCAACGGAAAUACCAAUAGAAGUGCCUUAAGUGCCAGUUGUGGUCGCCACCUAGAUUUCUUUAUUCGCAAUCUUUAGUUUUCAGUGUUGUAGAGUGUCAGAGACAGCAAUAUGUACUGUUAGGAUACUGGAUUUUUUCUUGUCAUUGAAGCAUUAUUUGAUUUUUAUUUUUGUAAAUGAGUCGCUAA
Molecule: long non-coding RNA, 787 nt
Organism: Rosa rugosa (rugosa rose)
Lineage: Eukaryota; Viridiplantae; Streptophyta; Magnoliopsida; Rosales; Rosaceae
Exons: 4
Source: RefSeq, a predicted model, not a curated record